UAUUUUUUGCCACCGGGUAAAAACUAUGCACCUAAGGCGUUCCGUUAGGUCUUUGAAGGAGCGUACAGGUGCUUUUUUAUUA
RNAcentral lists this non-coding RNA (82 nucleotides) under unclassified sequences. The record is from RNAcentral.